CCUACGGGUGGCAGCAGUGAGGAAUAUUGGUCAAUGGGCGGAAGCCUGAACCAGCCAAGUAGCGUGCAGGAUGACGGCCCUACGGGUUGUAAACUGCUUUUAUAUGGGAAUAAAGCGCAUUACGUGUAGGGCUUUGCAUGUACCGUAUGAAUAAGGACCGGCUAAUUCCGUGCCAGCAGCCGCGGUAAUACGGAUGGUCCGGGCGUUAUCCUGAUUUAUUUGGUUUAAAGGGUGAGUAGGCCGGAUGUCAAGCGUGCUGUGAAAUGUGCGGGAUCAACCGUGGGACUGCAGUGCAAACUGGCUUGCUUGAGUCCGCGAGAAGUAGGCGGAAUUCGUGUUGUAGCGUUGAAAUGCUUAGAUAUCACGAAGAACCCCGAUUGCGAAGGCAGCUUGCUGCAGCGUAACUGACGCUGAUGCUCGAAAGCGCGGGUAUCGAACAGGAUUAGAUACCCCGGUAGUC
This 460-nucleotide ribosomal RNA is filed under the name uncultured bacterium. RNAcentral describes it as "partial 16S ribosomal RNA". It matches the Rfam family "Bacterial small subunit ribosomal RNA", at positions 338 to 795 of the family's 1533-position model. The record is from RNAcentral.